Molecule: ribosomal RNA, 498 nt
Filed under: uncultured bacterium
Lineage: Bacteria
Description: partial 16S ribosomal RNA
Rfam family: Bacterial small subunit ribosomal RNA
Source: RNAcentral
AGUUUGAUCAUGGCUCAGGAUUAACGCUGGCGGUAUGCCUAACACAUGCAAGUCGAACGGAAUACUAAUUAAGAGAAUCUCACACUAGUGAGAGGUUCUCACGAGUAGUAUUUAGUGGCGGACGGGUGAGUAACACGUUGGAACCUGCCCCGAAGUGGGGAAUAACUGCUCGAAAGAGUAGCUAAUACCCCAUAGUAUCCGGUUUAUCCGGAUUAAAGAUUUGUCGCUUCGGGAGGGGCCUGCGUCUGAUUAGCUAGUUGGUGAGGUAAAAGCUCACCAAGGCGACGAUCAGUAGCUGGUUCGAGAGGAUGACCAGCCACACUGGGACUGAGAUACGGCCCAGACUCCUACGGGAGGCAGCAGUGAGGAAUCUUCCACAAUGGGCGCAAGCCUGAUGGAGCAAUACCGCGUGCAGGAAGACGCUUUUCGGAGUGUAAACUGCUUUUGUCGUCGAAGAUUAUGACUGUAGACGAAGAAUAAGGACCGGCUAACUACGUG